CGGGACACGUGGUAUCCUGUCUGAAUAUGGGGGGACCAUCCUCCAAGGCUAAAUACUCCUGACUGACCGAUAGUGAACCAGUACCGUGAGGGAAAGGCGAAAAGAACCCCGGCGAGGGGAGUGAAAAAGAACCUGAAACCGUGUACGUACAAGCAGUGGGAGCACAGAGCAAUCUGUGUGACUGCGUACCUUUUGUAUAAUGGGUCAGCGACUUAUAUUCUGUAGCAAGGUUAACCGAAUAGGGGAGCCGAAGGGAAACCGAGUCUUAACUGGGCGUUAAGUUGCAGGGUAUAGACCCGAAACCCGGUGAUCUAGCCAUGGGCAGGUUGAAGGUUGGGUAACACUAACUGGAGGACCGAACCGACUAAUGUUGAAAAAUUAGCGGAUGACUUGUGGCUGGGGGUGAAAGGCCAAUCAAACCGGGAGAUAGCUGGUUCUCCCCGAAAGCUAUUUAGGUAGCGCCUCGUGAAUUCAUCUCCGGGGGUAGAGCACUGUUUCGGCAAGGGGGUCAUCCCGACUUACCAACCCGAUGCAAACUGCGAAUACCGGAGAAUGUUAUCACGGGAGACACACGGCGGGUGCUAACGUCCGUCGUGAAGAGGGAAACAACCCAGACCGCCAGCUAAGGUCCCAAAGUCAUGGUUAAGUGGGAAACGAUGUGGGAAGGCCCAGACAGCCAGGAUGUUGGCUUAGAAGCAGCCAUCAUUUAAAGAAAGCGUAAUAGCUCACUGGUCGAGUCGGCCUGCGCGGAAGAUGUAACGGGGCUAAACCAUGCACCGAAGCUGCGGCAGCGACACUGUGUGUUGUUGGGUAGGGGAGCGUUCUGUAAGCCUGUGAAGGUGUGCUGUGAGGCAUGCUGGAGGUAUCAGAAGUGCGAAUGCUGACAUAAGUAACGAUAAAGCGGGUGAAAAGCCCGCUCGCCGGAAGACCAAGGGUUCCUGUCCAACGUUAAUCGGGGCAGGGUGAGUCGACCCCUAAGGCGAGGCCGAAAGGCGUAGUCGAUGGGAAACAGGUUAAUAUUCCUGUACUUGGUGUUACUGCGAAGGGGGGACGGAGAAGGCUAUGUUGGCCGGGCGACGGUUGUCCCGGUUUAAGCGUGUAGGCUGGUUUUCCAGGCAAAUCCGGAAAAUCAAGGCUGAGGCGUGAUGACGAGGCACUACGGUGCUGAAGCAACAAAUGCCCUGCUUCCAGGAAAAGCCUCUAAGCAUCAGGUAACAUCAAAUCGUACCCCAAACCGACACAGGUGGUCAGGUAGAGAAUACCAAGGCGCUUGAGAGAACUCGGGUGAAGGAACUAGGCAAAAUGGUGCCGUAACUUCGGGAGAAGGCACGCUGAUAUGUAGGUGAAGUCCCUCGCGGAUGGAGCUGAAAUCAGUCGAAGAUACCAGCUGGCUGCAACUGUUUAUUAAAAACACAGCACUGUGCAAACACGAAAGUGGACGUAUACGGUGUGACGCCUGCCCGGUGCCGGAAGGUUAAUUGAUGGGGUCAGCGCAAGCGAAGCUCUUGAUCGAAGCCCCGGUAAACGGCGGCCGUAACUAUAACGGUCCUAAGGUAGCGAAAUUCCUUGUCGGGUAAGUUCCGACCUGCACGAAUGGCGUAAUGAUGGCCAGGCUGUCUCCACCCGAGACUCAGUGAAAUUGAACUCGCUGUGAAGAUGCAGUGUACCCGCGGCAAGACGGAAAGACCCCGUGAACCUUUACUAUAGCUUGACACUGAACAUUGAGCCUUGAUGUGUAGGAUAGGUGGGAGGCUUUGAAGUGUGGACGCCAGUCUGCAUGGAGCCGACCUUGAAAUACCACCCUUUAAUGUUUGAUGUUCUAACGUGGACCCGUGAUCCGGGUUGCGGACAGUGUCUGGUGGGUAGUUUGACUGGGGCGGUCUCCUCCUAAAGAGUAACGGAGGAGCACGAAGGUUGGCUAAUCCUGGUCGGACAUCAGGAGGUUAGUGCAAUGGCAUAAGCCAGCUUGACUGCGAGCGUGACGGCGCGAGCAGGUGCGAAAGCAGGUCAUAGUGAUCCGGUGGUUCUGAAUGGAAGGGCCAUCGCUCAACGGAUAAAAGGUACUCCGGGGAUAACAGGCUGAUACCGCCCAAGAGUUCAUAUCGACGGCGGUGUUUGGCACCUCGAUGUCGGCUCAUCACAUCCUGGGGCUGAAGUAGGUCCCAAGGGUAUGGCUGUUCGCCAUUUAAAGUGGUACGCGAGCUGGGUUUAGAACGUCGUGAGACAGUUCGGUCCCUAUCUGCCGUGGGCGCUGGAGAACUGAGGGGGGCUGCUCCUAGUACGAGAGGACCGGAGUGGACGCAUCACUGGUGUUCGGGUUGUCAUGCCAAUGGCACUGCCCGGUAGCUAAAUGCGGAAGAGAUAAGUGCUGAAAGCAUCUAAGCACGAAACUUGCCCCGAGAUGAGUUCUCCCUGACCCUUUAAGGGUCCUGAAGGAACGUUGAAGACGACGACGUUGAUAGGCCGGGUGUGUAAGCGCAGCGAUGCGUUGAGCUAACCGGUACUAAUGAACCGUGAGGCUUAACCUUACAACGCCGAAGGUGUUU
RNAcentral lists this ribosomal RNA (2546 nucleotides) under Escherichia coli. RNAcentral describes it as "partial 23S ribosomal RNA". It matches the Rfam family "Bacterial large subunit ribosomal RNA", at positions 418 to 2925 of the family's 2925-position model. RNAcentral also lists the same sequence under 1 other name. The record is from RNAcentral. Lineage: Bacteria; Pseudomonadati; Pseudomonadota; Gammaproteobacteria; Enterobacterales; Enterobacteriaceae.